Molecule: microRNA precursor, 63 nt
Filed under: Sorex araneus (European shrew)
Lineage: Eukaryota; Metazoa; Chordata; Mammalia; Eulipotyphla; Soricidae
Description: miRNA (ENSSARG00000017570.1)
Source: RNAcentral
GGCUGGGCAGGGUUGGGGUGGGCUGGGCAGGGCAGGGCUGACCUGGCCAGGCUGCCAACCUCC